CCCAGUGACUUUAUUCAACGGCCGCGGUAUCCUAACCGUGCGAAGGUAGCGUAAUCACUUGUUCUUUAAAUGAGGACUAGUAUGAAUGGCCCCACGAGGGCUGCACUGUCUCCUUUUUCUAAUCAAUGAAACUAAUCUCCCCGUGAAGAAGCGGGGAUAAUUCUAUAAGACGAGAAGACCCUAUGGAGCUUUAAACAACUGAAACACUUGCUUUUUCCAUUAACCUCUUCCGAGUUCUUUACUUCACUCAAGCAUUUUUAUUUCUAGUUUUAGGUUGGGGUGACCACGGAGCAAAACUAAACCUCCACGAAGAAAUGAAUACUUUUUAAGCCACAAACUACUUUUUUAAGCAUCAACAAAUUGACCUUCAUUGACCCAAUAUAUUGAUCAACGAACCAAGUUACCCUAGGGAUAACAGCGCAAUCUACUUCAAGAGCUCGUAUCGACAAGUAGGUUUACGACCUCGAUGUUGGAUCAGGGUAUCCUAGUGGUGCAGCCGCUACUGAUGGUUCGUUUGUU
Molecule: ribosomal RNA, 519 nt
Filed under: Ameerega bassleri (pleasing poison frog)
Lineage: Eukaryota; Metazoa; Chordata; Amphibia; Anura; Dendrobatidae
Description: partial 16S ribosomal RNA
Rfam family: Bacterial large subunit ribosomal RNA
Source: RNAcentral